This 1320-nucleotide long non-coding RNA is filed under the name Anneissia japonica. Its description in RNAcentral is "uncharacterized LOC117104583, transcript variant X1". The record is from RNAcentral. Lineage: Eukaryota; Metazoa; Echinodermata; Crinoidea; Comatulida; Comatulidae.
UCUUCUAAUCGGAUUAAAAUCUGGCCGAAUUUUGGCCGAUAUCGAAAAAAAGUUUGGCCGAUUUGGCCGUGAGAUGGCGUGUGUUUGGCCGUGAAGCCUGUUGACUAUCUGGCAACCCUGCUACCAAUUCCGAUAAAGUUUUCCUUAUUAACCAGUCAAAACUUUCGUUGAAAGUAAACAUUUAGGAGGAUGUCACUCCGCUGCAUCACACUCAGGAAUGCUAUGCAGUAAAGAUCACUGGUGAGAAUGGAAGGUGAUGUAGAUCAUGAGUGCACCAUUUGUUCACUGUGAAAUCAAAUCUUACCCGUCAUAUGAAGCUACAUGAUGAACACGAGAACUGAAGAAUGAUGUUUGUUGUCCCCACAUGAAGUGCCAAAAGCAGCUCCUGGAGUUUGUCUACCGAUUUCCUGCUGUGAAAAUUGAUCUUGAUAACCGCUUGAAAGUAAGACAUGAAUAAUGCCAAUAAGAACAACCCUUCAGUAAUUGAUAGUCAACACUAUUUCUCAGCAUCCGUGAAGCACAAAGAGAAACAAGAACCACUGACAGACCUGGACCCAGAUUACAUUGAAGAUGCUGAACUGUUGGCUGUUGCAGAUGUGCACUUCAGGCCCUACAACACUGUUCUGCUUGUCAUCUCAUAAAAACCUACAGGCACAGGUCACAGAUGCUGUUUCUUAACUAUGCAAGUUUUAAAGUAGUAGCAGUUGCGAUAUUGUCGUUAGUUGUGUAGUACAUUUUUGUUUUCCAUGGUAAUUUAACUUUGAAUGAAGCCCAUUGCCGUUAAUGCGUGUGUUGCUCAUUGGUAAUUAACAUAAUUAAAAGUUCACCCGUUAAUUUUUCACAUCAUCACCAUAAUUCUCAUCGAACAUCUCUUUACUUAAAAUGUGUAUAAAUUAUAUACUGGCACUGUAUUAUGGCCACCAUGGGUCCCCAAGGGCCUACUAGCUGCAAUUUCUAAUUUUAAAUUCCAAACUUGGAAUCAUAACAAUGACAUAACAAUUUUAAAAAAUAAAUAAAACAGUGAGUCAAUUUCCAGUUAAAUUGAAAUUAUUCUACAUAAAUGUUUUUUAAUGAAAUUAUAGUUUACUGCAGUUACUUCUAUAUUGUUGUUUCUGAUGCUGUAAGCAUUUUAAACUAAGUACAGAGACCACUGUAAUUUACAGUGAAGCCUUUCCUGAUAAGCUGCUUUUGCUACUAUUCUACUAUCACACACUAUGUGUGUAAGAUUUUUAAAGUACAGUAUAUCUAUCUAUGAUGUAUGAUAUCAAAAUGUCACUGCUGUAAAUUGUUAAUAAAGGACCUUACAAAUUGAUCCAAGGA